ACUACGGGUGGCAGCAGUGGGGAAUAUUGGGCAAUGGGCGCAAGCCUGACCCAGCAACGCCGCGUGAAGGAAGAAGGCCCUCGGGUUGGAAACUUCUUUUAUCAAGGACGAAACAAAUGACGGUACUUGAUGAAUAAGCCACGGCUAACUACGUGCCAGCAGCCGCGGUAAUACGGGGGAGGCAAGCGUGGUACGGAUUUACUGGUUGUAAAGGGCGUGUAGGCGGGGCUGCAAGUCAGAUGUGAAAACCAUGGGCUCAACCCAUGGCCUGCAUUUGAUACUGUAGUUCUUGAGUGUUGGAGAGGCAGGCGGAAUUCCGUGUGUAGCGGUGAAAUGCGUAGAUAUACGGAGGAACACCAGUGGCGAAGGCGGCCUGCUGGACAAUAACUGACGCUGAGGCGCGAAAGCGUGGGGAGCAAACAGGAUUAGAUACCCGGGUAGUC
This 443-nucleotide ribosomal RNA is filed under the name uncultured bacterium. RNAcentral's name for it is "partial 16S ribosomal RNA". It matches the Rfam family "Bacterial small subunit ribosomal RNA", at positions 338 to 795 of the family's 1533-position model. The record is from RNAcentral.